CGGCAUCGUUUGAUUUUGAAAGCUCCGGCGGUUUGAGAUGAGUAUGCGUCUGAUUAGCUAGUUGGUGAGGUAACGGCUCACCAAGGCGACGAUCAGUAGGGGACCUGAGAGGACUAACCCCCACACUGGUACUGAGACACGGACCAGACUCCUACGGGAGGCAGCAGUAAGGAAUAUUGGUCAAUGGAGGCAACUCUGAACCAGCCAUGCCGCGUGCAGGAUGACGGCCCUAUGGGUUGUAAACUGCUUUUAUACAAGAGAAAACCCUGGUACGUGUACCAAGUUGAUAGUAUUGUAAGAAUAAGCAUCGGCUAACUUCGUG
Molecule: ribosomal RNA, 322 nt
Filed under: uncultured bacterium
Lineage: Bacteria
Description: bacterial SSU rRNA
Rfam family: Bacterial small subunit ribosomal RNA
Source: RNAcentral